This 449-nucleotide ribosomal RNA is filed under the name uncultured bacterium. Its description in RNAcentral is "bacterial SSU rRNA". It matches the Rfam family "Bacterial small subunit ribosomal RNA", at positions 330 to 794 of the family's 1533-position model. The record is from RNAcentral.
GCCAGACUCCUACGGGAGGCAGCAGUGGGGGAUAUUGCACAAUGGGGGAAACCCUGAUGCAGCGACGCCGCGUGGGCGAAGAAGUAUUUCGGUAUGUAAAGCCCUCUCAGCAGGGAAGAAGAAAUGACGGUACCUGACUAAGAAGCCCCGGCUAACUACGUGCCAGCAGCCGCGGUAAUACGUAGGGGGCAAGCGUUAUCCGGAUUUACUGGGUGUAAAGGGGGCGCAGACGGCGAUGCAAGCCAGGAGUGAAAGCCCGGGGCCCAACCCCGGGACUGCUCUUGGAACUGCGUGGCUGGAGUGCAGGAGGGGCAGGCGGAAUUCCUGGUGUAGCGGUGAAAUGCGUAGAUAUCAGGAGGAACACCGGUGGCGAAGGCGGCCUGCUGGACUGCAACUGACGUUGAGGCCCGAAAGCGUGGGGAGCAAACAGGAUUAGAUACCCUUGUAUA